This 247-nucleotide ribosomal RNA is filed under the name uncultured bacterium. RNAcentral's name for it is "partial 16S ribosomal RNA". It matches the Rfam family "Bacterial small subunit ribosomal RNA", at positions 84 to 334 of the family's 1533-position model. The record is from RNAcentral.
CCUGGUGGCGAGUGGCGAACGGGUGAGUAAUGCAUCGGAACGUGCCCUGAAGUGGGGGAUAACGCAGCGAAAGUUGCGCUAAUACCGCAUAUUCUGUGAGCAGGAAAGCAGGGGAUCGCAAGACCUUGCGCUUUAGGAGCGGCCGAUGUCGGAUUAGCUAGUUGGUGGGGUAAAGGCUCACCAAGGCGACGAUCCGUAGCGGGUCUGAGAGGAUGAUCCGCCACACUGGGACUGAGACACGGCCCAG